RNAcentral lists this ribosomal RNA (253 nucleotides) under uncultured bacterium. RNAcentral's name for it is "partial 16S ribosomal RNA". It matches the Rfam family "Bacterial small subunit ribosomal RNA", at positions 524 to 776 of the family's 1533-position model. The record is from RNAcentral.
UACGUAGGGUGCAAGCGUUGUCCGGAAUUAUUGGGCGUAAAGAGCUCGUAGGCGGUUUGUCGCGUCGAAUGUGAAAACCCGGGGCUCAACCCCGGGCCUGCAUUCGAUACGGGCAGACUAGAGUUCGGUAGGGGAGUCUGAAUUCCUGGUGUAGCGGUGAAAUGCGCAGAUAAUCAGGAGGAACACCGGUGGCGAAGGCGGAUCUCUGGGCCGUAACUGACGCUGAGGAGCGAAAGCAUGGGGAGCGAACAGG